GACGAAGGAUGCAAGCGUUAUCCGGAUUCAUUGGGUUUAAAGGGUGCGUAGGCGGCCCUGUAAGUCAGUGGUGAAAUCUCUCAGCUUAACUGAGAAACUGCCAUUGAUACUGCAGGGCUUGAGUACAGAUGAUGUUGGCGGAAUAUGACAUGUAGCGGUGAAAUGCAUAGAUAUGUCAUAGAACACCGAUUGCGAAGGCAGCUGACAAAACUGUAACUGACGCUGAUGCACGAAAGCGUGGGGAGCAAACAGG
RNAcentral lists this ribosomal RNA (253 nucleotides) under uncultured bacterium. RNAcentral's name for it is "partial 16S ribosomal RNA". It matches the Rfam family "Bacterial small subunit ribosomal RNA", at positions 524 to 776 of the family's 1533-position model. The record is from RNAcentral.